This is a small nuclear RNA of Manis javanica (Malayan pangolin), 103 nucleotides long. Lineage: Eukaryota; Metazoa; Chordata; Mammalia; Pholidota; Manidae. The record is from RefSeq and is a predicted model, not a curated record.
GUUCUCACUUCAGCAGCACACAUACUAAAGCUGGAACAACACAGAGAAGAUUAGCAUCCUAUGUAAGGAUGACACACAAAUUUCACUUUAUUAAAAAAAGUUU